Long non-coding RNA from Sinocyclocheilus anshuiensis, 418 nucleotides. RefSeq lists it as uncharacterized. The record is from RefSeq and is a predicted model, not a curated record. The transcript is spliced from 3 exons. Lineage: Eukaryota; Metazoa; Chordata; Actinopteri; Cypriniformes; Cyprinidae.
ACUGAGAGAGCUCUGGGCUGUAGGAUGCGGUCUUGUCUCUAUACCAUCAUCUAUUGGUAAACUUAGGAGGUUAGAGAAACUUGGGCUUCAUAAUAACAAAAUUACACACCUGCCAUCACAAUUUGGGGGUCUCAGCAGUCACUGGUCUUCAUGAACCUGGACAAGAUCUGUUUUACACACAUCCCUACAGCACUGACAGACAUGGCAAAUCUGCAGACCCUGUCUGUUAAAUUUAACAGCAUCAGAUCACUGGAAGAUUACUUAAUCCCUGGUUUCAGCAGAUUUAUAAAACUUGACCUCAGAGAAAAUCUUUUAAUGGACAGACCACCACACUGGAAGGGAUUGGAUUUUAUAUUGCUGGGAAAUGUCUGAUACGCUGAGGAAGAUUCAUAUGAGAUGAGUAGGAACUGAAAAUAAG